AAAAUAUUGAAGGUAAUUAGCUAAUGCCAUUUUUUGGUCCGAACCUUUUUUUUUUUCCUGCAAUUAACUGAGCUGUGAAAUUUUCUCAUUGUAUCAGUAACAAUACUUAUAAUUUCGUGCUUCAAAAGUAGAUUUCUAUCCCAGUAAUGUCCAUAAACUCUUCCCUGUUUUGGAAUAUAAUUAGGACAUCAAACAUAAGUUAAG
Molecule: unclassified non-coding RNA, 204 nt
Filed under: Hevea brasiliensis (rubber tree)
Lineage: Eukaryota; Viridiplantae; Streptophyta; Magnoliopsida; Malpighiales; Euphorbiaceae
Source: RNAcentral